RNAcentral lists this ribosomal RNA (253 nucleotides) under uncultured bacterium. RNAcentral describes it as "partial 16S ribosomal RNA". It matches the Rfam family "Bacterial small subunit ribosomal RNA", at positions 524 to 776 of the family's 1533-position model. The record is from RNAcentral.
UACGGGGGGAGCAAGCGUUGUUCGGAUUUACUGGGCGUAAGGGCGCGUAGGCGGCCAGCGCAAGUCAGUUGUGAAAUCUCCGGGCUUAACUCGGAAAGGUCAACUGAUACUGCGCGGCUAGAGUGCAGAAGGGGCAACUGGAAUUCUCGGUGUAGCGGUGAAAUGCGUAGAUAUCGAGAGGAACACCUGCGGCGAAGGCGGGUUGCUGGGCUGACACUGACGCUGAUGCGCGAAAGCCAGGGGAGCGAACGGG